RNAcentral lists this unclassified non-coding RNA (196 nucleotides) under uncultured fungus. Its description in RNAcentral is "sequence contains ITS1, 5.8S rRNA gene". Lineage: Eukaryota; Fungi. The record is from RNAcentral.
ACGCGAGAUCGAGGCGCCCCCUAGCGCCUUCUAGACCUCCCACCCUUUGUAAACGUACCUUGAGUUGCUUUGGCGGGGCGUGGCCAGAAAUGGUCCCGUUGGCUCCACCGGGGCUAGCGUGCCCCCGCCAGAGGAUCAUAAGAAUCUUGCUUUGAAAAACCCCGUCUGAAAAAUUCUAUUUUGAAAAUAGCGAAAA